UACGUAGGGUGCGAGCGUUAAUCGGAAUUACUGGGCGUAAAGCGUGCGCAGGCGGCGCGUUAAGACAGGUGUGAAAUUUCGGAGCUUAACUCCGAAACUGCAUUUGAUACUGCGGUGCUUGAGGACUGGAGAGGAGACUGGAAUUCACGGUGUAGCAGUGAAAUGCGUAGAUAUCGUGAGGAAGACCAGUGGCGAAGGCGGGUCUCUGGACAGUUCCUGACACUGAGGCACGAAGGCCAGGGGAGCAAACGGG
This 253-nucleotide ribosomal RNA is filed under the name uncultured bacterium. Its description in RNAcentral is "partial 16S ribosomal RNA". It matches the Rfam family "Bacterial small subunit ribosomal RNA", at positions 524 to 776 of the family's 1533-position model. The record is from RNAcentral.